UGGCGAACGGGUGAGUAACACGUGGGCAAUCUGCCCUGCACUCUGGGACAAGCCCUGGAAACGGGGUCUAAUACCGGAUAUGACCAUCUUGGGCAUCCUUGAUGGUGUAAAGCUCCGGCGGUGCAGGAUGAGCCCGCGGCCUAUCAGCUUGUUGGUGAGGUAAUGGCUCACCAAGGCGACGACGGGUAGCCGGCCUGAGAGGGCGACCGGCCACACUGGGACUGAGACACGGCCCAGACUCCUACGGGAGGCAGCAGUGGGGAAUAUUGCACAAUGGGCGAAAGCCUGAUGCAGCGACGCCGCGUGAGGGAUGACGGCCUUCGGGUUGUAAACCUCUUUCAGCAGGGAAGAAGCGAAAGUGACGGUACCUGCAGAAGAAGCGCCGGCUAACUACGUGCCAGCAGCCGCGGUAAUACGUAGGGCGCAAGCGUUGUCCGGAAUUAUUGGGCGUAAAGAGCUCGUAGGCGGCUUGUCACGUCGAUUGUGAAAGCUCGGGGCUUAACCCCGAGUCUGCAGUCGAUACGGGCUAGCUAGAGUGUGGUAGGGGAGAUCGGAAUUCCUGGUGUAGCGGUGAAAUGCGCAGAUAUCAGGAGGAACACCGGUGGCGAAGGCGGAUCUC
RNAcentral lists this ribosomal RNA (619 nucleotides) under Streptomyces griseofuscus. RNAcentral describes it as "bacterial SSU rRNA". It matches the Rfam family "Bacterial small subunit ribosomal RNA", at positions 96 to 729 of the family's 1533-position model. Lineage: Bacteria; Bacillati; Actinomycetota; Actinomycetes; Kitasatosporales; Streptomycetaceae. The record is from RNAcentral.